RNAcentral lists this non-coding RNA (26 nucleotides) under Homo sapiens (human). The record is from RNAcentral. Lineage: Eukaryota; Metazoa; Chordata; Mammalia; Primates; Hominidae.
UGGGCAGCACUGGCAGCUCUGGGUGU